This is a long non-coding RNA of Pseudopipra pipra, 979 nucleotides long. RefSeq lists it as uncharacterized. The record is from RefSeq and is a predicted model, not a curated record. The transcript is spliced from 7 exons. NCBI's taxonomy places the organism in Eukaryota, Metazoa, Chordata, Aves, Passeriformes, Pipridae.
UGUGUUUCAUCUGGGAGUCUCUAACAGAGAUGCCAAGAUACUUUGUCACUAGAACUGUGUGAAACACCUGAGUUCACAAGGACUGAAGGAAAACAGUCACAGACUAACAGGCACACAACUGCCCUGGCUUUGCUGACUUUGAAAUCUGUGGCUAAAAGAGGAGGGACAUCAAGAGGGACAAACAGAAAAGACCUGUGGCUUCCACCAAGGACCUCUGAGCCCAUUUCAGUUUCUUGCAUGUUCAAGAAAAAGGAUGAAGAAUGGCCAGUGCCUGGAUUUGAAAAUGAUGUGAGGAGCAGGAGCUCUGAACAGCCUGAUGCCACCUCCUCCUGCCACGCUGGGAAGCUCAGUAGGUCCCACUCCAGAGAUUUGUUUGACACCACUGCAGCUGCAAGCCACAGAGGCACUUUGGCUGAAGUCCUCGUGGUUUAAAGGAGAGAACAGUGGAUAGAUCUCCUCAGCAGGAGCAGGACUGAAUGAUCCCUGUCCACUCCAGCCUGGGGACAGUGCAGGAGGCAGGAAUCUGAACUGCCUGAUGCUUGAGAAGAGUCAUCUUUGAGCUGGCCUGCUGCCCACCUGCUUUAUUCCAGAUGUGGCCAUGGAAAGUCCCUAAGGAAAGCAACCACAGGGAAGAAAGUCUUGCUGGCUUAAUACCUAAAAACAAAAGCAAAAGCAAGGUGAAUUCGUGGACCUCCCUCCUGCAAGAUGCUGUCAGGACAAGCUGGGAAGUUGGAUGUCUGAGACAGAUCAAGAUGAUUUUCCAACCACCAGCACGCAAGUAAACACACGAUGUAAUUUGCAAGCAAGGGAAAGCAAGCCAAAAAUCACAUUUCAAGAUAUAAAUGAUGCUUGAGCAGAAUUAUGUAAAACUCUGUCUCCUCUGACAGCAGCCCUGAGCAUGGACGAUGCAGUUGGUGGGGUGGCACUGCCAAGCUUGCACAUGCCAAGCAUGAGCUCAGGCAGGUGAGCUGGUCUGCUG